UAAAAUCUCGCUCUCUCUCUCUCUGUCUCUGUCUAUGGUCGCAAAGAGCAACGGCAAAAUACAACUACCACCUAGGCCGUUUAAAAACCCGAACCCGAGUAUCCAAUUCCGGGUCGAACAAAUGUUCGGAGGCUUGUGUUCCUGCCCUUGCUUUGGAGAACGGAGCUCUGACGCGGACGGGUCUGACGUUGAUCCGGUUCUGCUCAUCUCCGGCAUGGGAGGCUCCAUUCUCCACUCCAAGAAGAAGAAGUUCGGGUUCGAGACACGGGUCUGGGUCCGGAUCCUUCUGGCGGACCUCGAGUUCAAAAAGAAGGUCUGGUCUGUCUAUAAUCCUACCACAGGUUAUACAGAAACAUUGGAUGAUGACACUGAAAUUUUGGUCCCUGAUGAUGAUUACGGGCUGUAUGCAAUUGAUAUUUUAGAUCCAUCAUUGGUGAUGAAACUUUUACAUUUCACAGAGGUAUAUCAUUUUCAUGCUAUGAUUGAUAUGCUUGUUAAAUGUGGCUAUAAGAAGGGAACCACAUUAUUUGGAUAUGGUUAUGAUUUCCGGCAAAGCAAUAGAAUUGACAAAUUAAUGGAAGGUCUUAAAACGAAGUUGAAAGCAGCUCACCAAGCUUCUGGUGGUAGAAAAGUCAAUAUAAUCUCGCAUUCAAUGGGCGGGCUGCUAGUGUUGUGUUUCAUGUCACUCCAUAAUGAGGUAUUUUCCAAGUAUGUGAAUAAGUGGAUAUGCAUUGCAUGCCCCUUUCAAGGUGCACCGGGAUGCAUUAAUGAUUCACUCUUAACUGGAUUGCAGUUUGUUGAAGGAUUUGAAAGCUUCUUUUUUGUGUCAAGGUGGACAAUGCACCAGCUGUUGGUUGAGUGCCCAUCAAUAUAUGAGAUGUUGGCAAACCCAGAAUUUAAUUGGAAAAAACAGCCAGAAAUUCAAGUUUGGCGAAAGCACUCCACAGAUGAGGAAACUUCUGUCGAUUUGGAAUCUUAUGGUCCAAUUGAAAGUAUCACUCUGUUUGAAGAAGCAUUGAGGGAUAAUGAGCUUAAUUAUGAUGGAAAAAUGGUAGCUCUGCCUUUUAACUUCGAGAUUCUCAAAUGGGCUGCUGGGACUCGCCAAGUUAUAUAUGAUGCUAAAUUACCGGAUGGGUUCUGCUUCUAUAACAUUUAUGGAACAUCAUUUGACACACCUUUUGACGUUUGCUAUGGCUCAGAAACAUCUCCAAUUGAGGACUUGUCUGAAAUUUGCCACUCAAUGCCCCAGUAUUCUUAUGUUGAUGGAGAUGGAACAGUUCCUGCUGAAUCAGCAAAGGCUGAUGGAUUUGAUGCAGUUGAAAGAGUAGCAGUUGCUGCUAGUCAUCGUGGAGUUUUACAAGACAAAACAGUUUUUAAAUACGUCCAAAAGUGGUUGGGGGUUGAUCAAAAGGUCCGCAAGCAUUCAAAGUCUUCCAGAGUAGUAGAUGCCUCAACUUAGCUCAUGGACUCGCAAUUCUUUAUGCAGAUAGGGGAUGUGUUUCAAAUAGUCACGAUUUAAUGACACAUAACAAGGGUUGUAUUGGCUACAAUCUUACAGCUUGCAUUAUGAUUCCGUAGUGCGACGUAAUUUGGUGGAGGAGGAUUGGGCAUGCAACACAACAUUUGGAUUAAUGGGUGUGCGACGUCGUUUGGUUGAUGAGCCCUUGGCUUGCAACACAGCUUAUGAAGGUUGUUUUGGAGGCAGCAGUAAGUUACUAGCAAGGGACACAUGUCUGACAGGAUUCCAACAAUUUCUAUUAAUUUUUUAUUUUCCAUUUUAAUGCUUUCAAUUAUCUUAAGUUCUAAAGGGAAUUGUUAUCCAUAUAUAAUUAGUAGAAUUAGUGGGGGGAUGGGAUAUCUUUUGUGUAGUUGAAGAUUCUGAAUUGUACUGGACGUUGAACACCUCAAAUAGCUCAUCCCUUUUUAUCAAUGCAAGCUUAUGACUAUAAGAGUCCUUUUCACAAACAUCUUCCAGGCUUCUAUCAUUUACAUUACAACAACCUUCAUUCCAUCUCCCAUUCGUUUCCUUGUUACGUUACAAUAAUUCUCAACAGGUUCCUGACAAUUGGUAUCCAGAGUCGACGAUCUAUGGAGGAUGAAAUAUUUUUCUAGCAGCAAGAAGAAGCCUUACAGUGGCGGAUAGACUCCAAUGAACAGAGUAUUUAGGAACUUAAUAACCACUUGGAUGAAUUGACAGAUAUGUUACUUACCUGGGUGGUAAAGCAGAACAAUAUUCCUAAUCAGUAUGCUCUUAUAAAAAUAUUACUGAGUUUAAAGGUGAGAAAACAAAAACCAGUAGUUGUUGAAGAUUAUAAGGAUGAAGAAGACUCGGCAGCUAGGGAUUCAUCCAAAGAAACACAAAAAUUGGUAUUGUAGGAAGAAAAUGGAACGCAGAUUGAAGUUGAAGUUGCAGAUGAAGGCGUAGAAAAGCCAAUAGCGGUGGAGGGGAGUGUGGUGGUGUCCAUGGAAGUUACUCCCAAAGAAAUCACUUCAUCUAUCCUUAGAAAUCUAAAGCCAAAAUUAAUUUCUGAACAACCAAAAUUUUCUAAAAUGAUUUCCUUCAUCUCCGUGCCUCUUCUCCUUUCCCCAUCACACCCCAUCCAAGAUUAACCUCACCGAGAUGGAGCACUAGAUCAUUAAUGGGGCCAUAAACUAAGUCAUCGCAAACUCCAUCAACAAUGUCUUCGAUGUUAGGAUGUUGAUGGGCUGUAGAUUCCAUGGUGUUUGUGUACGUCUCGUAUGGCACCCUCCAUGGCCAGGAGGCAUUCCCCACUCACUCUCGGUCCAACAACCCCAAAAAUCCUAGACUCUAGCCCUUCAAUUCAAGAACCCCACGUCGUCUUCGUUUACUUCCACCAACCCCCCCCCCCCCAACUCAAACUGGUUCCUUUGGCUUCAAAACCUAGACCAAGCCAAGAUAGAUGAAUAUGCUACUCCAGCCAAGACAGAGGCCGAGGACAUCAUCGCUACCAUUGUGAAGGUCACGAGUGCAGGAGCUAUAUCUGUGAGUGAGAAUCAGGAAGAUUAGGUUUCCUUGGUUGCCAUGCACAGCGAUUCUUGGUGGCUUUCUAUACUUUUCCCUCGGCGUAUGUCUCUAAAAUUGUUUUCGAUGCCAAAGAACAGUUCCAUCAUUGAGAGUCUAACAUAAAAGGGGGCUGAUGUCGACAUUAAUGUUAGCUCUCAACUUGUUCAUGGGAUUGCCAAAAUGGUAUCGGGAAUUGGUGGCUCAUACCUUGUUGUCGGUACACAUGGUGUGAGAACUAAACUUAAGCUAGUAUUUGCAACUGGAAUCCACAAAACUAUUGGGAUUGAUCUGGUUGCGAUCAGUGUCAACAAUAUCGUUACUUCUGGAUUAUUUUUCCUCAAUGUUAUUAGGCAGUAUCAUUGCGUAUUGCUAUUAAAGAACAACCUAUUGUCGAUCGAUCUCUUCGAGAGGGAUUUAUUUGAAAAGCAAGAGGUAGAUUAUGGCUUGGGUUGAGUAUGGAGAGGCCAUCAAAAUUAUCCGAGUAUGGCUUGGGUACUCGCAGAUUAGACCCUCAAGUCCCAUUCUCAUUUCUCAGAUUGACCUCUCCAACACAUUCAAGAAGUUCAUGCAUUUUGGGUUCUCUGCUUCUAGUGGCUAGGGCUCUUCAAUUCAUGUUAUUGAUAAUUGGCGAUUAAAAACUUUUUGGUCUCUUCCCCUUGUGAUUACGAUGGAUACUCUAGAAGAAGGGGACUAUUUUGUUUCCUUUUUUGAGGACCAAGGCAUCACAAAUACAAGCAUCUCCGUAGAUGAACAUGCAAUAAGAAAGAAAGUAGAAGAGCCAACUUACAAAUUGGGAGGAUUAGCUGCAUUUCUUUUCUCUGCAUUUGCAAUUUUUGCUGUAGUCUUUUUCUUCUUGAUAAGGAGCAAAAGACUUCGCAUCAGGAAAAGCCAAGAAAGCCCAUUGUCGGGUAUGGCUAUUUUCUAGCUUCACUGUUCUAUAUUUAUGAGUUUUUUCCAACCUCAUGAUCCUAUUGUCAGGUAUGGCUAUUUUCCUAUAGAAAAUGAUUGUUCUCAACCUACUAGAGAAGGGGGUGUUGGAAAGGAAGUUUGAGUGUGGACUAGAAAAUGGGCUUGAUGUGAGAAUUUGGAUGGGUCUGAAAACUUUAUUGUCAAGGAGGACUCUGACUUUGUGGUUCGAUUUUGCAAAGAUGUAGAGAGUAGAUCACAUGCGGGUUGUGUGGAUUUUGCCUAAUUUGAUUUGUUCAGUUACUUGGUUGCUGAAAAAGGCAAGGGAAGAAUGGAUGCUAUGGUGAUUGGAGAGGUAUUAAAAAUGUAUGUAGUUAGGUGGUCGCUAGAAUCUAUUGAUACUUUGGGUUAUAUUGCUCAUUACCAAUGGAACAAAUCUUUGGUAGAAACCAUCAUCUGCUUAUUGCCAUCUGACAAAGGGAAGUGGAAAUGUGCAUAUAUGGUUGUCAAUUCUUGUGAGAAGGAGAAAGAGUUGAAGGGGAAACGGGAUACACUUAGUUUCACUCUAUAAAGCAAACCUUUCAUUGAAGAGUUCAACUAUGCCAUGCCAACAAAUUGUACAGGUGGAAACCUUGGUGUUGUUGCUAGGGAGCCUGAGUUAAAGAAAUGGAUUGCAAGGAAAAUAGUUUUUGACAAGUUGCAUGAUCCAAUUAAAAUUGCCAUGGUUGGAAAAUACACUAGCCUUUCAGGUUCUUAUCUCUUUGUUUUAAAGGCUCUUUUGCAUGCUUCUGUCACUUGCUGUCAGAAGCUUAUUGUAGAAUGGGUUGCAACUUGUGACCUUGAAGACAAGACUGGUGAAGAGACCCCUUAUGCUUAUAAAGUAGCAUGGAAUUGUUUAAAUGAUACUGAUGAUAAAGAGGUUGUUCUUUUUGGCAAGCUUGUGACAUGCAUUUGGUUGGAAAUGCAUUCACUAUUUUGGCCAGUGUUAGGGUAUCACGGUUUUCUGAAGCUUCCAUGCUGGCAUAUAUAUCUUUGGGUAAAAAGAUUAUACUUAUUUUUUACCCCGGGGGUUGGACAUUUGAUGUUAGUUUUGUGAGUGGAUGAUGGUAUUUUCAUUCUCUAUACUCUUCUCUUGGGUGUAUGUGACAAUUACACCAGCCCUCUAAACCUUGAGGGCAAGGUUCUUUAAGGGAAGGGAAUUGUUAUGAUUCAGUAGUGCAACGCCAUUUGCUGGAGAAGGAUUGGGCAUGUAACGCAGCGUUUGGAUUAAUGGGUGUGUGGAGUCGUUUGGUUGAUGAGCACUUGGCAUGCAAUGUAGCGUAUAAAGAUUGUUCUAGAGGCAGUAGUCAGUUAUCCACCAUUAAAUCCACCAUCAAUUUAUCCCCUUAAGCCAGCUCCACCCUAGCCUUUUUCCCUUUACCACCCUUCAACUUCCCCUCCACUACAACAUUAUCUACACUCCUCUUAAUAAUUGUAACAGAAGUAACAGAUGCAUGGGACUCACCAGGAAUUUUUGGCCCUCUAGCCCUUCUUUUCCAGCUGCCUCUCUUAUGCUUCUCUAGCCCAUUCAAGGUACACAAGACUUCCUUUUUUUGUUCUCCCAAUUCUUGCAAAAUAUCAUGAGUCAGGAUUAACUCCUCACCCCUUCAGCCGACCCCCCUUUCCACUAGCUUCUUUACUCCCUCCAUUGUUUCCACCAUCACCCUUUGGUCCUCAUCAAGAUCCUCCACCACCGCAGGGCUCCUCCUCAUCUCAUCAUCAUUCAUAGUCCAUUUCCCAUCCACAACAAUAGUUUCUUGAACCUGUUCCUGCACUCCACUCUUACUUUGCUGUUUUUUUACAUCCCCUUCCCUCCCCAUGUUCCUUCUACUACCUGCUAGUGCCCUCAUCCAUGAUCCAAAUUGCAUGGAUGCAUGGAUUCCUCCUUUCCAUGUUACCCUCCUAUUUCCCCACUCCUACAACCUUGUUUCCCAUGUGAAACAAAUCCGCAAUGAAAACAGAUCCUAUCUAAAUGGGAUCCAAAUAUUUUGGCCCUCAAAACUCACUGUUCUGCCUCUUGCUAGUGCCUUUCAUAAAUUACACUUGACUCUCACCCUAAGGCAUUUUCCCCAUGCUACAUCACCUUUAUCAGCAUCCACCUCGUUGACCGUUCCAAUUGAUCCCCCAAUCUUCUCACCCAUUUCUCUAUUCAUACCUCCUAGAGAGAGGUUAUACAUUUGGAUCCAAAAUCUUUCACUGGAGAAAUCCAGUAGGUGUGGUUGAGUACAUGUUCAGCACACAAAGAUAGUUAUCAUAUAACCAAGGGCAUCCAUCCAAAACUCUGUCCCUAUCACUUUGAUUCGCAAAUGUAAUUACAUAGCAAUUCCCUCCAAUUUCAUUGAAUUCCAUCUGUAUACUAACUCUCCACACUUUCUCCAUCAUCAAUUUUACAACUCCUUCCCAAUCACGCUAUCAGCACAGAUCUUCCCCACCAGGCUUCUCUUCCCUUUCAACUUUAAUUCAUCUAUUUCCUCUAUUUCAAGCACAAUCGGGCUCUUCUUCAUUCAGGUUCAGACGAUCCCAUCGCUCUUCUAAUCCUUCCAUUACCUCCACACCGACCACCGUAAUGAUCAGAAGCAUCUCCUUCCUACUUCCUGAGAAAUAGUAGCAGACUCACUACUUCACCUUUAUCGCCUACGAGGAACAAUAGAAAGAAGACUCAUUUUUAUUAUAUAUCUUGUAGGAAUUUAUUGAUGUCCUUGUAGAGCUUAACUAUGCUAUUCUUUAUUAAUGGAUGACUUGCGGUGUGUUAUCUCAAUUUAAGUAUAUAUAACUUUUGAUGAUUCUCAAAAAACAGAGCAAUACUUUAUUUUACCUAUAAAAAAAAUUGAUUAGCAAUACUUGUAGUAGUAUGAACCCAUGUUCUGUGUUGUAAAUUCUAGAGCUUCACCAUAUCAUCAUCCUUUCCUGAACAAGGCUUCAUCCUACACUAAAGCGAUUUUCUUUUCACGUGACUAUUUUAUGUGAGAAUUGACUCAAACUUCAUCAUGCUAUUUUCACGAUUCUUGAGAUAGGCUACAUUUUUUCCUAAUUGCUAGAGUUUCUUUAGCGCAUCAUUAAUUCUUGUACAUCAAUUCCGCCAUGAGAUAGGUUACCUAUAUUAUUAUGACCUGCCUAUUUUUUAGUUUAAUUUUUUUGGUUUUUUGAGGAGUUUGUGUAUACUUCCUUCAUGUACGGUUUUCCUCCCAAUCUAACACAGUGCUCUUAAUGCUCAAGUGUUUGCUAUUAUUAAGCACUGUAAGCUUGACUAGUCCUCUCAUUGGCAUUCUUAGUUUUAGAUUGAUGGAGGAAGAGGAAGAUGGAAUGCCACCCAAUUCGAUGUGGACUUCACAGUUGUAUGUUGGUCCUAUAAAUCCAUACUACCCGCCAUUAAUGAGACCUCAAAAUACUUAUCGAAAUCCAAACGUCUACCAUGCGGGUAGCCAGAAUGAUGUCUUUUACCUUUUUAAAAAAAGUUUGUUUGGCAUACUUUUGAAUCUAACAAAUUGCAUAAUUGCAACAUUCUUUUGGAUUAAAUAUGCCCUACAAUGCAUCAAGAAAUAUUGAAGACUUGAGGUGAGUUGAAGAGUCAUUCCAGGUAUAUUUACUUUAAUUUUUUUAACAAAUUCUUUUGUACGUCCAUUUUCUUUUUAACAACGUGCUUGAAUGCAGCAUCCUAUGAUGCCACUUUAUAUGCCCUACCUUCCGUUGAAUAAUCCAGAGGACUUGAGGCAUGUUGAAAUGACCUUCCAGGUAUAUUUAGACUUAGCUUUUUUUAAAAAUUUUGAACUAUGUCCAUUUUUUUUCCUAACAACUUCCUUGAAUGCAGCAUCCUAUGAUUUCAUCACCUUAUUUGCCCUACCCUCCGUUGAGUAAUCAAAGGGACUUGAGGCAAGAAGCGACUCCCGCAUCAAGUGUGUCAAGUAGUACGGAAUUUGAACAAAAUAUUGAAAGUACAUCACGAAUGACUGAUUAAAGUUGUCAUGCUAAUGGUGGUAUUACACUUUUUAAAAAAUUACUUUAAUGCUGCUAAUAUUGAAUUUAUGCUAAUCCAUUCAUGCCUUUGCAUUUUUAGAAACUGUAUCAAAUGUGAAGAGGCGGAGGCGGAGGCGGAGGCGGAGGGUACCGCUGUUGUCUCGGAUGAUGUUAUAUGAGUUGAAGCACCAAGAUUCGGUAUGGAAUUUAAGAGUGAUAAAGUGCUUAUGACCUAUUAUAAACGAUAUGCCAAGCAAGAGGAUUUUGGUGUAAGGACAUAGAGGACGAAGAGAGAUUAUGAUGGGAGGGUUGUAUGUGACAACUGGUUGUGCCCGUGGUGGCAAGUACCCACCUAACCACAAUAAUAUCUCGAAGCCAUAGCCAACAAUCAAAACGUAUUAUAAGGCGAAGGUAAAUGCGACCUUAAACAAGAAUGGCAUAUGGGUUUUGACGAUGGUUGAAAAUGUGCAUAACCAUAGUACUGUAAGCCCCAAGAAAUCUAGACUUUUGAGACCUCACAAGUUUGUAGAUGAAUACAGUCAAAGGAUGCUCGACUUGAAUGAUAGAGCAAGUGUUCAAGUGAAUAAGAAUUAUUUCAUACUUCUUGUUGACACGGGGGAGUUUGAGAAUCUUGAUUUUCAAGAGAAAGAUUGUUGAAAUUUUAUUGAUAAGGCCAAACAUUUAAGGUUUGAUAAAGGAGGUGGCAAAACAUUUAGUAAGUACUUUCAAAGAAUAAGAGAGAUGAAUGAUGGCUUCGUUUCUGUCAUGGACGUGGAUGAAAAUGUGUUCUGGGUUGAUGCAUAAAGUCGAGCGGCUUAUGAGUAUUUCGGAGAUGUUGUGACCUUCGAUACGACAUACCUAACAAAUAGGUACGAGAUGCCUUUUGCUCUCUUUGUUGAUAUUAACCAUCAUGGGUAAUCUAUACUAUUAGAGGAGGGGUUGCUGCCAAGCAAAACACAUACUUUUAUUUGGUUGUUCCAAGUGUGGUUAAAUUGCAUGAAUGGUCGAGUGCCCAAAGCCAUCAAAUGGACCAAGACCAAGUAAUGAAGAGUGCUAUUGCCACUAUAUUUCCAGAAACUCGUCAUAGAUAUUAUCAAUGACAUAUAAGGCACAAACUUCUAGAGAAGUUAGGAUCUCUCUUCCAAUUCAAUGCAAAAUUGAAGACUUCCAUACAGACUGUAUUAUAUGAUUCAUAGACUUUCAUAGAAUUUGAGGACAGGUGGGGGCAACUACUUGAGAAGUACGAUCUUGGAGGUAAUGCAUGGCAUUAGUCCUUAUACAAUGAAAGGUCUUUUUAGGUUCCAGUGUAUUUUGGACUGGUAUGAGCAUGACAUCGUGGUCGAAAAGCAUGAAUGCUUUCUUUAACGAGUAUGUCCAUUUUGGUAUGACUUUGAAGGAAUUUUUCAACCAAUUUAAUAAUACUCUAAGGAAGAAGGUGGAGGUAGAGACAAAGGCUAAUUUCAAUUCCUGCAACAAAAUAAUUCUCUGCAUGUCCCCUUUUGGCAUUAAGAAGCAAUUUCAAAAGUCACAAGUGCAAAGUUUAAAGAGGUCCAAAGAGAGCUGUUAGACCUAAUGUGUUGUAAUUGCACACUUAUAAGCACACAAUGGUGCAUUUCAACCUUUGAUGUCUUGAAUGAAAUAUCUACUGAUGACUGCACCAAAACAGUCAACUACUUAGUUUACUAUAGUGAAAAGGAGUGCAAGUUAAAAUGCACAUGUGUAUUGUUUGAAACGAGGGGGAUUCUAUUUAGGCAUGCACUUAGAGUUUGUCAACUGAAGAAGAUUAAUGUGCUGCUAGAUAUAUAUAUGUCUUAAAUCGUUGGAGAAGGACAUAAAAAGGGGAUACACAUUGAUCAAAAGUAAUUAUGAUGACUUGCAGGGCAGUAUAAAUGCACGAAGGUAAGGGGUUGUGGUUAAAAGAUGUUUGAAAUUAGCAACGAAGAUAUCCCCAAGUGAUGACCAUGUCAAUGCAUUCCUGCGCUAUGUCGAUGACUUUGAGACAAAAUGUGAAGGUAUAAAACUGAAGUCAAAAUCAAAAUCAACGAAUGCUAGACCAAAGGAGGUUGGGGAUAAGGGUAAGAAGAUAUCGAGCCCCCAUGUUGUUCGAGUGAAAGGGAGACCUCCAAUUGAGAGAAAGGUUCCGCCCGUGGAGAAGAUAGCAACGAAGAGAAAGAAGAAGCCGGUAAUUACUUUUUGCAAGUUAAUAGUCAAUAUUCCUUUUACACUAAUAUGCUUUUUUUUUGGGGGGGGGGGGGGGGGGAUUUAGGCUUGCAGGAAAAUAUUUGAUGAGGAUUCACAAUUGGGUGAUAACCUGGGAUCUAGACUUGGCACUAUUGAUGAGGUGGUUGGCGUUAGAACCCAAAACAACAUUGUCACACAAUCGAGGCCAUCAGGAAAUGAGGAGGUCUUUAGAUCUUGUUAUUUGGUUAACUAUUUUUUUCCAAUAAAUAAUGCCUAUUAUUAAAUGUGUUUUGUUUUCUUUCAUAUAUGUGAGCAUAUUGAUGCUGUGUAACUCCAUGGAGAUUUUUGCAAAGUCUUACUUAGUAUGCCUGAGGUGCAUGGGUGGGUGGCCCUAUAAGGGGAGUUUGUAAUGCUUUUUAUUUUAUUAGACAGUUGUGAAGAUGCACCUGAUGCUGAAUAUGUAGAUUGUAAACUAGGGGCUUUGUGUGUAUCCAGUUUAUGUGUUCUGGAGAUGUUGUGUUUUGAUUUUUGUCCCUUCUGGAAAGGUUGUGGAGAUAUUGUGGUGUUGUAUGCAGACUAAGGGCGUUAGUAGCAUGAUCCAUAUAUACCUUGUGUAUAUACUGAUAUGUACUUGGAUUACUAUACUAUGAUGAAUAUAGCAACUUUAUAUGAAGUUCAAGUAAUUUGGAUGUUGUGUUUAA
Molecule: RNA transcript, 10806 nt
Organism: Carya illinoinensis
Lineage: Eukaryota; Viridiplantae; Streptophyta; Magnoliopsida; Fagales; Juglandaceae
Gene name: phospholipase A(1) LCAT3
Exons: 12
Source: RefSeq, a predicted model, not a curated record